Mustela putorius furo (domestic ferret) is the source of this 2487-nucleotide long non-coding RNA. Lineage: Eukaryota; Metazoa; Chordata; Mammalia; Carnivora; Mustelidae. The record is from Ensembl.
GUUCUCCAGGGAUCCCCCGCAUUUCCCCGUCUGUCUCUGCCUCUGCUUCCUGGUUCCUCCCUCCCUGCCCCGAGCCCUCCAAGACACGUCCCCAUCCCUAGUGCUCCCAGGCUCCGGAGAGAGCGUCCUGCUCCCCACCUGUGGACCUUCUGGCUCUCCUCCCAAACCAUGGCUCCCGGACAGCGCUGGACACCUGCUUCACUGCUGAACACGGGCCCCGCACGCACCAGGCCCUCUGCCAAGGUUUUUCAGCGGAAGCCCUGAAGAGAGCGUAGAAAGGGCCAUUUGGAAAGCCUGUGCCUCUGAAGCACAUGACUGUCUUCCUCCAGGGCAGAGUGGUCAAGCAGCAUCCUAGGAAGACUGUCAAGACCCUGCCACCUCGAAGCUCGCAUGUCUGCAGGGUAGACCGACAUUCCGUGAACAGGUUAAUCCCCGAGAACAGCAAGUACACCGAUAUCCUUAGAAAUCUGUGCGUGAGUCCCUGUCCAGGUGCCUGCUCUGUCUCUACAUAGAAACUCAUCAAGCCUCACAACCACCCACAAGGCAACGUCUGACAGGACCGUCAUGGCCAUUUCACAGAUGAGGACCCAGAGGCACAGGUACUCCAGGUAACUCGCCCAAAGUCACACAGCAUCUUGGUGGUGAAGUACAUUUUGAACUCACAAAACUGAGCCCCCAAACGAGUUUGCGACUCCCUCUCAUAGGUGCUUGAGGAAAAUAAAAUGGGUUCUCAGGAGAGUGAGUGUCUGAAAACUAGGUCUGCUUGCUUUCUUUUUCGUUGUUUUUUAAGGAAAACUUGGAUCGAGGUAGAACUCACAUUUGGAAGAGUCCAGAAACUGGAAGCAAGCGUUCGGCUCCGGGUUUUCACAAAGUGACCACACCGUGCGAUCGCCCUCCACAUGAAGACCAGUUCCAGCCCAAGAAGACCCCCACCCCAUCCCGGGCUCCCUCCGACUUCUCUCCUCACGGAUGCUUCUUGUCUCUUCUUGAACAGAAAGUAGAGGGAGUCAUACUAUAGGGCACUCGGCUUUCUGUUCUUUCACACAAAUCCCAGUGGACGGGCUUCCUCCGUGUCACUGAGCCCCAUCCCGCUGUAUGAAGGACACCACGAUGCCCCCUUUUUACGGGGCGCACAUCACGCUGUUUCCAGCGUGGGGCUGUUGAGUGGCGCCCCAACAAAGUUCUUGUGUGUGGCUUUGUGCACAUAUGGACAUCUAUCCGCUUGCUGGGUCUCCACCAGGGCUGGAACGGACGGACCCUAAGGUGUAAAUACGUUCAUCUUACUAGAUACGUUUGUCAAAGUCAAAGUCAAAGUCAGUUUAUACUCACACAGGCAAGCAGUUACUCCACGCUGUAGCCCACAUCUGGUGUUGUCUGAGUUUCAAAUUUUAGUCAUUCUGGUGGGUGUGUGUAGUAUGUUAUUCUGCCCUUUACCCUAAUGAGCAAUGGGGUGAAGCCCCCUGAUGUGUUCACUGGCAGCUGGAGUGCUCCCCUUUUGUGGCGUAUCCUUUCUUGUGGGUCAUCUGCUUACUGGUUCCCAGUUCUUUUUAUAUUCCGAACAUCCCAGUCCUUUGUCGAAUGAUUAUCUGUGUUGUGAGUAUUCUGUCCUGCCCUGUGACCUGCUGGUUACUCUCUUAUUAGUUUCUCUUAUUGGAUAGUUGUUAUUAAUUUUAAUUUUAUUUCAAGUAGUUUAGCGAUCUUCCUUCUUUGGCCAAUGCUCUGUGUGUCUUGCUUGAGAAUUCUUUGCCUACCCCAAGGCAUAAAGACCACUUCCUGCUUCCGUCUCGAAGCCUCACACUUUUGAUUGUCCGUUUUGACUUACAAACCCUCUUAAAUUGCUUUUUUGCAUAUGAUGUGAGGGAGGGGUCCGAGAAGGUCUCUCUGAGUCGAAGCAGCCAGAGCCCCCUCUGGGACUGGGGCAGAUCAGCGUGGAUAGCAAAGGCCGCAGAGAGGAGGCAGUCUCUCUGGGGAGCAUUGGAAGCCUUUGCAGGGUUUGAAGCAGAGCGGGCAAGACCAGAUGGCCUGAGUCACUGGAUGGACAGCGGCGUAUAAGACCUAAGGGUCUGGAACAUUCCAGCCAGCGGGUCAGCCCUCUGGCACCUCCCAGCACAUCAAGCCCUUCUGUCCUGACUGACCCACCGGACACCCACCAUCCCCUGACUGUGCUUCUCUCCUAUCCUUCUCCACCCCAGGAGGGCUCAGCCUGGUCCCUUCUGGGGACCCAAGCACACACUCUCCCACCUCUGCCCCCUCCUGAAAAGCCGAUUGGUCUCUCCCCCCAGGGUUUUAGUGCUCACCCAAACCCUCUUCCUCAGUCUCUCGCCUCCUCUCUAAACUCCCUCUCCCACUCUUGACUAUUUUCAUGGACCCGGCAGCUGAUGGCUCUCCCCUGAAGGGAAUAGCCCUUCUGCCAUGAAGGAAUUGGAGUGCGGCCUCCUCCUCCAGGUGGUGUCUGACCAACGUCCAGUGUGUUCCAGCACCCAUCCA